Molecule: ribosomal RNA, 1024 nt
Filed under: uncultured archaeon
Lineage: Archaea
Description: bacterial SSU rRNA
Rfam family: Archaeal small subunit ribosomal RNA
Source: RNAcentral
CGGUAAUCCCAGGAAGCCACAAGUGGCAACCGGUUUUUAUUGGGCCUAAAGCGUCCGAAGCAUGUUUAGUAAAUUCUUCUGUGAAUCAUUAGGCUUAACUUAAUGGCGUGCAGACAGAGACUGCUAGACUAGGGACUGGGAGGAGUCAGAGGUAUUUUGGGGGGAGCGGUAAAAUGCUAUAAUCCCUGAAGGACCACCUGUGGCGAAGGCGUCUGACUAGAACGGAUCCGACUGUGAGGGACGAAAGCUAGGGGAGCAAUCCGGAUUAGAUACCCGAGUAGUCCUAGCUGUAAACUCUGCGAGCUAGGUGUUGCAUAAUCUUCGUGAUUAUGCAGUGUCGAAGCGAAGGUGUUAAGCUCGCCGCCUGGGAAGUAUGGUCGCAAGGCUGAAACUUAAAGGAAUUGGCGGGGGAGCACUACAAGGGGUGCGGCGUGCGGUUUAAUCUAAUUCAACGCAGAGAAACUCACCAGAAGCGACGGCAGGAUGAAGGUCAGAUUAAAGGUUUUACCUAACGAGCCGAGAGGUAGUGCAUGGCCGUCGUCAGCUCGUGCCGUAAGGUGUCCUGUUAACUUCUCCAAGGAAGUUUCGGAACGACCUUGGAAGUGACAGAAAGUCAGGCAACGAGCGAGACCUGCACUCAUAAUUGCUAACAGCUCUAUCAGAGGACUGAGCACAUUAUGAGGACUGCCUUUGAAAAAGGGAGGAUGGUGCAGGCUACGGUAGGUCUGUAUGCUCCGAAUCUUCUGGGCUACACGCGCGCAACAAUGGCAAGGACAAUGGGCUACAACUCCGAAAGGAGAAGUCAAUCCUCGAAACCUUGUCUUAGUUCAGAUUGAGGGUUGUAACUCACCCUCAUGACGCUGGAAUCCCUAGUAAUCAGGUCUUAUCAUGGCCUGGUGAAUAUGUCCCUGCUCCUUGCACACACCGCCCGUCAAACCACCCGAGUAGGGCUUAGAUGAGGCUUAAUUUUUAAUUAAUUCGAAUCUAAGCUCAGCGAGGAGGGUUAAGUCGUAACAAGGUAACC